GGAUAACCUGCCCUUAGGUCUGGCAUAACCCCGGGAAACUGGGGAUAAUUCCGGAUAGAUCAUCGAUGCUGGAAAGCCCCGAGAUCGAAAGCUCCGGCGCCAGAGGAUGGGUCUGCGGCCUAUCAGGUAGUAGUGGGUGUAGCGUACCUACUAGCCUACGACGGGUACGGGUUGUGAGAGCAAGAGCCCGGAGAUGGAUUCUGAGACACGAAUCCAGGCCCUACGGGGUGCAGCAGGCGCGAAAACUUUACAAUGCCGGCAACGGCGAUAAGGGGACCUCGAGUGCCAGGUUACAAAUCUGGCUGUCGUGAUGCCUAAAAAGCAUUGCAUAGCAAGGGCCGGGCAAGACCGGUGCCAGCCGCCGCGGUAACACCGGCGGCUCGAGUGGUAACCGUUAUUAUUGGGUCUAAAGGGUCUGUAGCCGGCCGGAUAAGUCUCUUGAGAAAUCCAGCAGCUCAACUGUUGGGCUUUCAGGAGAUACUGUCUGGCUCGAGGCCGGGAGAGGUGAGAGGUACUUCAGGGGUAGGGGUGAAAUCUUGUAAUCCUUGAAGGACCACCAGUGGCGAAGGCGUCUCACCAGAACGGACCUGACGGCAAGGGACGAAAGCUAGGGGCACGAACCGGAUUAGAUACCCGGGUAGUCCUAGCCGUAAACGAUACUCGCUAGGUGUCGGCCACGGUGCGACCGUUGUCGGUGCCGUAGGGAAGCCGUGAAGCGAGCCACCUGGGAAGUACGGUCGCAAGGCUGAAACUUAA
Molecule: ribosomal RNA, 756 nt
Filed under: uncultured archaeon
Lineage: Archaea
Description: bacterial SSU rRNA
Rfam family: Archaeal small subunit ribosomal RNA
Source: RNAcentral